AUUAAUUAAAAAUUAAAAGUAUUGAUUUUUACAAAAAAAUUCUAACCUAAUGAUUAAUCAUCCCCCACGUGUCAACACCACACCCCUGCCUGGCAUCGUCAUCAUCAUUUUCAUUCCUAUAAAUAGGACUUCUAAAAGCAACAAUCAUGGAACAAAAAAAAGCACUCCUAAAGUCCCCAAGACUUUCAGUCCGACAAAAUUCAGUCACUAACUUUAAUCUCAAACUCUCCAACCCUCGAUAUCCCCUAAAGUUUUUCAAACUCCAAAAGUCUUUGACAUUCUCAAAGAGCUCUCUUUUAUUCCUCUCUUCAUUCUUCACCAAUGUACUGCCCUACACCUCUCUACCCUUGCCAAAGAACAAUAAGAACGAAAAAAGCAAUAAGUUAGUAGUAGAGUAAGCAUGUAUAAAUAGUUUGGGUUUCGCGUAAAUAAGUACUUGAGUGUUGAAACCCUGUGUUUUAAAGUUCAACUAUUCUUGUAUACGAGGAACCUAGUUUCAUAGGUUUCCACAUAUCUAAUAACUAUAUAUUUAACUUUUACUUAUCACUAACUCUUAACACUACUAAGUAAUGUUCCUAUUUCAUCUUUCACUUCCUAAGCAUUGUAUUCUCAUACAGUCAAUCAUCAUUUAUGUUUAAUAAUUGUAUGUCAGUUAUAAUGUUUAUGUGUUGAGUGAGCUUGCGAGCAUUGUAUGGAUCGAAGCACGUGGUUCGAUCGGGUCGUCUAGGGGUUGAUUUCACAAUGGAUAUUAGAGCCUGGUUAUUUUCUAUUGUUUGAUCGAGGUUAUUGGUACUGAGGCGUCAUGAACCUCAAAGUGACCACUAUUUUUGGGAGCUGAGUGUAGUAACCAAAGUUUUUCAGGGUUUUCAAAUUUUUUUUCAUUUUCGUAGCUCGAUUUUUUCUUCGAAUUUUUUACCUUUUUCAUUAAUUUGAAUACACACUUCUAAACUCUUACCGAAUUGUCUAAAUUAUGAAUUAACGGUCACAAGCAAAGAUGCUAUACCAAACCUAAAUAUUAAGCGUUGGUCAGAUUAACGGGUUGACAUGAUAUUUCAAACUUAAAAGCUAAGUUCUAUAAUUGGAUAAGAUGAUCGGGGUUUCGAGCCGACUAAGUGAAUGAGAUUGGGUUCGGCUUGGGCCCGUUUCGAAUUUCAGAAUUUUAAUUAAAUAUAAAUGGACGAAAAUUAAUUAAAAAUUAAAAGUAUUGAUUUUUACAAAAAAAUUCUAACCUAAUGAUUAAUCAUCCCCCACGUGUCAACACCACACCCCUGCCUGGCAUCGUCAUCAUCAUUUUCAUUCCUAUAAAUAGGACUUCUAAAAGCAACAAUCAUGGAACAAAAAAAAGCACUCCUAAAGUCCCCAAGACAAAAUUCAGUCACUAACUCUAAUCUCAAACUCUCCAACCCUCGAUAUCCCCUAAAGUUUUUCAAACUCCAAAAGUCAUUGACAUUCUCAAAGAGCUCUAUUUCAUUCCUCUCUUCAUUCUUCACCAAUGUACUGCCCUACACCUCUCUACCCUUGCCAAAGAACAAAAAGAACGAAAAAAGCAAUAAGUUAGUAGUAGAGUAAGCACAUCAUAAAUAGUUUGGGUUUCACGUACGUAAGUACUUGAGUUUUGAAACCCUGUGUUUUAAAGUUCAACUAUUCUUGUAUACGAGGAACCUAGUUUCAUAGGUUUCCACAUAUCUAAUAACUAUAUAUUUAACUUUUACUUAUCAACCUAGUUUCAUAGGUUUCCACAUAUCUAAUAACUAUAUAUUUAACUUUUAUUUAUCUACGUGUGCUAACACUAACUCUUUACACUACUAAGUAAUGUUCCUAUUUCAUCUUUCACUUCCUAAGCAUUGUAUUCUCAUACAGUCAAUCAUCAUUUAUGUUUAAUAAUUGUAUGUCAAUUAUCAUGUUUAUGUAUUGAGUGAACUUGCGAGCAUUGUAUGGAUCGAAGCACGUGGUUCGAUCGGGUCGUCUAGGGGUGGAUUUCACAAUGGAUAUUAGAGCCUGGUUAUUCUCUAUUGUUUGAUCGAGGUUAUUGGUACUGAGGCGUCAUGAACCUCAAAGUGAUCACUAUUUUUGGGAGCAUAGUGUAGUAACCAAAGUUUUUCAGGGUUUUCAAAUUUUUUGUCAUUUUCGUAGCUCGAUUGUUUCUUCGAAUUUUGGACCUUUUUCAUUAAUUUGAAUACACACUUCUAAACUCUUACCGAAUUGUCUAAAUUAUGAAUUAACGGUCACAAGCAAAGAUGCUAUACCAAACCUAAAUAUUAAGCGUUGGUCAGAUUAACGGGUUGACAUGAUAUUUCAAACUUAAAAGCUAAGUUCUAUAAUUGGACCAGGUGAUAGGGGUUUCGAGCCCACUAAGUGAAUGAGAUUGGGUUCGGCUUGGGCCCGUUUCGAAUUUAAGAAUUUUAAUUAAAUAUAAAUGGACGAAAAUUAAUUAAAAAUUAAAAGUAUUGAUUUUUACAAAAAAAUUCUAACCUAAUGAUUAAUCAUCCCCCACGUGUCAACACCACACCCCUGCCUGGCAUCGUCAUCAUCAUUUUCAUUCCUAUAAAUAGGACUUCUAAAACCACCAAUGCACUCCCCUACACCUCUCUACCCUUGCCAAAAAAUCAAGAGAACAAAAAAAAAGCAAUAAGUUAGUAGUAGAGUAAGCACGUGAUAAAUAGUUUGGGUUUCACGUACAUAAGUACUUGAGUUUUGAAACCCUGUGUUUUAAAGUUCAACUAUUCUUGUAUACGAGGAACCUAGUUUCAUAGGUUUCCACAUAUCUAAUAACUAUAUAUUUAACUUUUACUUAUCUAUGUGUGCUAACACUAACUCUUAACACUACUAAGUAAUGUUCCUAUUUCAUCUUUCACUUCCUAAGCAUUGUAUUCUCAUACAGUCAAUCAUCAUUUAUGUUUAAUAAUUUUAUGUCAGUUAUCAUGUUUAUGUGUUCAGUGAACUUGCGAGCGUUGCAUGGAUCGAACCUCGUGGUUCGAUCGGAUCGUCUAGGGAUGGGUUUCAUAACGGGUAUUAGAGCCUGGUUAUUCUCAACUGUUUGAUCGAAGUUUAUGGUACUGAGGCGUCAUGAACCUCAAAGUGACCACUAUUUUCGGGAGCUUAGUGUAGUAACCAAAGUUUUUCUGGGUUCUCAAAUUUUUUGUCAUUUUCAUAGCUCGAUUUUUUCUUCGAAUUUUUGACCUUUUUCAUUAAUUAGAAUACACACUUCUAAACUCUUACCGAAUUGUCUAAAUUAUGAAUUAAUGGUCACAAGCAAAGAUGCUAUACCGAACCUAGAUAUUAAGCGUUGGUCAGAUUAACGGGUUGACAUGAUAUUUCAAACUCAAAAGCUAAGUUCUAUAAUUGGACCAGAUGAUAGGGGUUUCGAGCCCACUAAGUGUAUGAGAUUGGGGUCGGCUUGGGCCUGUUUCGAAUUUUAGAAUUUUAAUUAAAAAUAAAUGGACGAAAAUUAAUAAAAAAUUAAAAGUAUAUAUUUUUACAAAAAAAUUCUAACCUAAUGAUUAAUCAUCCCCCACGUGUCAACACCACACCCCUACCUUCCAUCGUCAUCAUCAUCAUCAUCAUCUUCAUUCCUAUAAAUAGGACUUCUAAAACCAAUAAUCACGGAACAAAAAAAACACUCCUAAAGUCCCCAACACAAACUUCAGUCACUAACUCUAAUCUCAAACUCUCCAACCCUCGAUAUCCCCUAAAGUUUUUCAAACUCCAAAAGUCAUUGACAUUCUCAAAGAGCUCUCUUUCAUUCCUCUCUUCAUUCUUCACCAAUGCACUGCCCUACACCUCUCUACCCUUGCCAAAGAA
RNAcentral lists this long non-coding RNA (3801 nucleotides) under Linum usitatissimum (flax). Its description in RNAcentral is "long non-coding RNA (LUSI_LNC007489)". Lineage: Eukaryota; Viridiplantae; Streptophyta; Magnoliopsida; Malpighiales; Linaceae. The record is from RNAcentral.